AAGAUUAAGCCAUGCAUGUCUAAGUACAUGCCGUAUAAAGGCGAAACCGCGAAUGGCUCAUUAAAUCAGUUAUGGUUCCUUGGAUCGUACCUUACUACUUGGAUAACUGUGGCAAUUCUAGAGCUAAUACAUGCAGCAGAGCUCCGACCCUCGGGAACGAGCGCUUUUAUUAGACCAAAACCAAUCGGACCUCGUGUCCGUCAAAUGUGGUGACUCUGUAUAACUUUGGGCUGAUCGCACGGGCCUGUCCCGGCGACGUAUCCUUCAAGUGUCUGCCUUAUCAACUUUCGAUGGUAGGUUACGCGCCUACCAUGGUCGUAACGGGUCACGGGGAAUCAGGGUUCGAUUCCGGAGAGGGAGCCUGAGAAACGGCUACCACAUCCAAGGAAGGCAGCAGGCGCGCAAAUUACCCACUCCCGGCACGGGGAGGUAGUGACGAAAAAUAACAAUACGGGACUCUUUUGAGACCCCGUAAUUGGAAUGAGUACACUCUAAACCCUUUAACGAUUAUCCAUUGGAGAACCAGUCUGGUGCCAGCACUCGCGGUAACUCCAGCUCCAAUAGCGUAUAUUAAAGUUGUUGCGGUUAAAAAGCUCGUAGUUGGAUCUCAGUUCCAGACGGGUGGUCCGCCUUACGGUGGCUACUGCCUGUUCUGAACAGCCAGCCGGUUUCUCUUGAUGAUCUUCACCGGUUGUCUUGGGUGACCGGCAAGUUUACUUUGAAAAAAUUAGAGUGCUCAAGGCAGGCGUGACGCCUGAAUAAUCUUGCAUGGAAUAAUGGAAUAGGACCUCGGUUCUAUUUUGUUGGUUUUCGGAACACGAGGUAAUGAUUAAGAGGGACAGACGGGGGCAUUCGUACUGCGACGAUAGAGGUGAAAUUCUUGCCAAGAAUGUUUCCAUUAAUCAAGAACGAAAGUUAGAGGCUCGAAGGCGAUCAGAUACCGCCCUAGUUCUAACCAUAAACGAUGCCAGCCAGCGAUCCGGCUGUGUUCCUCAAAUGACACGCCGGGCAGCUUCCGGGAAACCAAAGCCUUUGGGUUCCGGGGGAAGUAUGGUUGCAAAGCUCAAACUUAAAGGAAUUGACGGAAGAGCACACAAGGAAUGGAGCAUGCGGCUCAAUUUGACUCAACACGGGGAAGCCUACCCGGCCCGGACGCAGGAAGGAUUGACAGAUUAAGAGCUCUUUCUUGAUUCUGCGGGUGGUGGUGCAUGGCCGUCCAUCCGGGGCCGCACGCGCGCUACAUUGAAGGAGUCAGCAUGUGCUCUCCCGCCCUGACAAGGGUGGGUAACCCAUUGAAUUUCCUUCGUGCUGGGGAUUGGUCUUUGUAAUUCUCGACCAUGAACGAGGAAUUCCCAGUAAGUGCGUGUCAUCAGCACGCGUUGACUAAGUCCCUGCUCUUUGUGCACACCGCCCGUCGCUACUAUCGAUGGAUGCUUUAGUGAGGUCUUCGGACUGGUGCGCGGUGUGGUUUUCGGAUCGUGCCGUGUGCCGGAAAGAUGAUCGAACUUGACAUCUAGA
RNAcentral lists this ribosomal RNA (1518 nucleotides) under Antistea brunnea. Its description in RNAcentral is "SSU rRNA". It matches the Rfam family "Eukaryotic small subunit ribosomal RNA". The record is from RNAcentral. Lineage: Eukaryota; Metazoa; Arthropoda; Arachnida; Araneae; Hahniidae.